This 255-nucleotide ribosomal RNA is filed under the name uncultured bacterium. RNAcentral describes it as "partial 16S ribosomal RNA". It matches the Rfam family "Bacterial small subunit ribosomal RNA", at positions 524 to 776 of the family's 1533-position model. The record is from RNAcentral.
UACGGGGGGAGCAAGCGUUGUUCGGAUUUACUGGGCGUAAAGGGCGCGUAGGCGGCCACCGCAAGUCAAUUGUGAAAUCUCCGGGCUUAACUCGGAAAGGUCAACUGAUACUGCGGGGCUAGAGUGCGGAAGGGGCAACUGGAAUUCUCGGUGUAGCGGUGAAAUGCGUAGAUAUCUGGAGGAACACCGGUGGCGAAGGCGGCAUCCUGGACCAACACUGACGCUGAGUGAGCGAAAGCCAGGGGAGCAAACGGG